This 495-nucleotide ribosomal RNA is filed under the name uncultured bacterium. Its description in RNAcentral is "partial 16S ribosomal RNA". It matches the Rfam family "Bacterial small subunit ribosomal RNA", at positions 28 to 507 of the family's 1533-position model. The record is from RNAcentral.
GAUGAACGCUGGCGGCGUGCCUAACACAUGCAAGUAGAACGCUGAAGGAGGAGCUUGCUCUUCUGGUUGAGUUGCGAACGGGUGAGUAACGCGUAGGUAACCUGCCUGGUAGCGGGGGAUAACUUUUGGAAACGAUAGCUAAUACCGCAUGACAACAGCUACUGCAUGAUAACUGUUUGAAAGGGGCAACUGCUCCACUACCAGAUGGACCUGCGUUGUAUUAGCUAGUUGGUGAGGUAACGGCGCACCAAGGCGACGAAACAUAGCCGACCGGAGAGGGUGGGCAGCCACACUGGGAGGGUGACACGGCCCAGAGGCCUUCGGGUGGGAGCAGGAGGGAAUCGUCGGGAAUGGGCGGGAGUCUGACCGAGCAACGCGGCGUGAGUGUAGAGGGUUUUCGGGUCGUAGAGCUCGGUUGUAGGAGAGGAACGAGUGUGAGAGUGGAAAGUUCACACUGUGACGGUAUCUGACCAGAAAGGGACGGCUAACUACGUG